GUCGGUCUCCAAGAUGGCGGCCGCCUGGCCGUCUGGUCCGUCUGCUCCGGAGGCCGUGACGGCCAGACUCGUUGGUGUCCUGUGGUUCGUCUCAGUCACUACAGGACCCUGGGGGGCUGUUGCCACCUCCGCCGGGGGCGAGGAGUCGCUUAAGUGCGAGGACCUCAAAGUGGGACAAUAUAUUUGUAAAGAUCCAAAAAUAAAUGACGCUACGCAAGAACCAGUUAACUGUACAAACUACACAGCUCAUGUUUCCUGUUUUCCAGCACCCAACAUAACUUGUAAGGAUUCCAGUGGCAAUGAAACACAUUUUACUGGGAACGAAGUUGGUUUUUUCAAGCCCAUAUCUUGCCGAAAUGUAAAUGGCUAUUCCUACAAAGUGGCAGUCGCAUUGUCUCUUUUUCUUGGAUGGUUGGGAGCAGAUCGAUUUUACCUUGGAUACCCUGCUUUGGGUAAGGAAACUGUCACCAGAGAGGUUAAGGGAUUUACUGAGUCUAGAGGCUUUCCUUUAUUCUGUGACAUAUUUGUUGUUAUCAUCUUUGUUUUAUGGAUAGGAAAAUUGUCACGAGAUUAAGAGAUUUACCCAAGGACACUCAGCUAGUGACCUCAAUUUGAACCCAAAUUUUCUGGCUCCAGAGAUCAUGCUUUAUUUACUGUAGUACUCUGCUUCUAUAUUAGCCCUUCACUGAGCAAAUUUAAAGUUUUUGAAUGCUCUGCCUACUAGCUAGCAAAGCUAACCUUAUUUCUUCCAUGUUGCUACCCACAAAAGAUGAAAGAGAAGUCUUCACUGUGGGGUUGAUGGUAGAUAUA
RNAcentral lists this long non-coding RNA (810 nucleotides) under Homo sapiens (human). Its description in RNAcentral is "non-protein coding lnc-KANK4-7:1". Lineage: Eukaryota; Metazoa; Chordata; Mammalia; Primates; Hominidae. The record is from RNAcentral.